This 465-nucleotide ribosomal RNA is filed under the name Vreelandella stevensii. RNAcentral describes it as "partial 16S ribosomal RNA". It matches the Rfam family "Bacterial small subunit ribosomal RNA", at positions 338 to 795 of the family's 1533-position model. Lineage: Bacteria; Pseudomonadati; Pseudomonadota; Gammaproteobacteria; Oceanospirillales; Halomonadaceae. The record is from RNAcentral.
CCUACGGUGGGCUGCAGUGGGGAAUAUUGGACAAUGGGCGAAAGCCUGAUCCAGCCAUGCCGCGUGUUUGAAGAAGGCCUUCGGGUUGUAAAGCACUUUCAGUGGGGAAGAAAGCCUUGGGGCUAAUACCCUCGAGGAAGGACAUCACCCACAGAGGAAGCACCGGCUAACUCCGUGCCAGCAGCCGCGGUAAUACGGAGGGUGCGAGCGUUAAUCGGAAUUACUGGGCGUAAAGCGCGCGUAGGCGGUCUGAUAAGCCGGUUGUGAAAGCCCCGGGCUCAACCUGGGAACGGCAUCCGGAACUGUCAGGCUAGAGUGCAGGAGAGGAAGGUAGAAUUCCCGGUGUAGCGGUGAAAUGCGUAGAGAUCGGGAGGAAUACCAGUGGCGAAGGCGGCCUUCUGGACUGACACUGACGCUGAGGUGCGAAAGCGUGGGUAGCAAACAGGAUUAGAUACCCGAGUAGUC